RNAcentral lists this ribosomal RNA (353 nucleotides) under uncultured Streptococcus sp. RNAcentral describes it as "bacterial SSU rRNA". It matches the Rfam family "Bacterial small subunit ribosomal RNA", at positions 1027 to 1374 of the family's 1533-position model. Lineage: Bacteria; Bacillati; Bacillota; Bacilli; Lactobacillales; Streptococcaceae. The record is from RNAcentral.
AUCGGUGACAGGUGGUGCAUGGUUGUCGUCAGCUCGUGUCGUGAGAUGUUGGGUUAAGUCCCGCAACGAGCCGCAACCCCUAUUGUUAGUUGCCAUCAUUCAGUUGGGCACUCUAGCGAGACUGCCGGUAAUAACCGGAGGAAGUGGGAUGACGUCAAAUCAUCAUGCCCUUAUGACCUGGGCUACACACGUGCUACAGUGGUUGGUACAACGAGUUGCGAGUCGGUGACGGCGAGCUAAUCUCUUAAAGCCAAUCUCAGUUCGGAUUGUAGGCUGCAACUCGCCUACAUGAAGUCGGAAUCGCUAGUAAUCGCGGAUCAGCACGCCCGCGGUUCCGAAUACGUUCCGGCCUU